CCCAUUUGACAGGUCGGAAAAAUUGAUUCAUUUUUCGUGACACGCGCGAAGGAUGCAUUCUGGCUGUUGCUUAUUGUUUUCCAACCCCUGGAGAUUGGAAAUCGAUGGGUUGUAUUCGGAAAUAAGUAACGGGAUUCUUUUUUGGACCGUCUAAAAAUAACGGAUGCUUAUUUAUUGUUUUAACUACGGUGACAACAACAACUCCCGAAAGUUUCACCCUCCGAAACUAUUCCAUGUAAUGAUUCUACGAAGAACAACAUGGAAUAAUAGUGUUCAUCAAGUCCCCGAGGGAAAUCGAUAUUGCACGUCUGUGUUCCGUUCUGCAGGACGUGUUACCCUUUCAAGGAAACUCGCUGCUUGAAGGGGCACGGUUGCAAUUUCUGUCGCAACGUUUCCAUUCAGGGGCUUUAAAAAAUAGAAACCUCUCGGUCCCUCGGUAUUCAUGGGAAGUUAUGGUAAAUGGUCCGUCGUAGGUACGCUUUACUUGCCUCGUUUAAUGCAUCUCGGAAAGCAUAAUAGAAUGGGCCUUGCAAAAAUACAUGCUGCUACUAAAAAAAUCGUGAAUUUUCUUUGCUUGGAAUAAUCUCACAAAAAAUAGUAAUCUGAGGCUCCUUUAUGAGAUCCAAUAUUGUAGUAUACUAGAAUAAUCACAGAAAAUAUUCCAAUCUAAAAUCGCAUUCUUCUCCGUAGGAAUUUUUCUGUUUUCUACAGGCGUACAAUCUCGUCAUUGCUUCACAGGUGUCGGGAGGUUACGGGUCCCCUUAAUAGCGCAACAAAGCAAAGUUUAAAAAGGUAGAUCGCGCCCCGGGAGGAACAUUAGACUUAAUCGCAGUUCGCCGACGAAACGAGCGUUUCUGAACAGUCAGCAAAUGAACGAA
This is a long non-coding RNA of Hylaeus anthracinus, 878 nucleotides long. RefSeq lists it as uncharacterized. The record is from RefSeq and is a predicted model, not a curated record. The transcript has 3 exons. Lineage: Eukaryota; Metazoa; Arthropoda; Insecta; Hymenoptera; Colletidae.